Molecule: unclassified non-coding RNA, 240 nt
Filed under: soil metagenome
Description: partial contains 5.8S ribosomal RNA, internal transcribed spacer 2, and large subunit ribosomal RNA
Source: RNAcentral
AACCAUAGAAACCUGCGGAGUACCUGCGGAAGGAUCAUUACAGAGUUGCAAAACUCCCUAAACCUUUGUGAACGUUACCUAAACCGUUGCUUCGGCGGGCGGCCCGGGUCCUUCCCGGCGCCCCUCGGCCCUCGCGGGCGCCCGCCGGAGGUAAACCAAACUAUUGCAUUGUAUGGCCUCUCUGAGUCUUCUGUACUGAAUAAGUCAAAACUUUUAACAACGGAUCUCAGAUCGGAAGAG